This 299-nucleotide ribosomal RNA is filed under the name Acidithiobacillus thiooxidans. Its description in RNAcentral is "partial 16S rRNA". It matches the Rfam family "Bacterial small subunit ribosomal RNA", at positions 224 to 515 of the family's 1533-position model. The record is from RNAcentral. Lineage: Bacteria; Pseudomonadati; Pseudomonadota; Acidithiobacillia; Acidithiobacillales; Acidithiobacillaceae.
GAGGAGCCUACGUCUGAUUAGCUAGUUGGUAGGGUAAAGGCCUACCAAGGCGACGAUCGGUAGCUGGUCUGAGAGGACGACCAGCCACACUGGGACUGAGACACGGCCCAGACUCCUACGGGAGGCAGCAGUGGGGAAUUUUUCGCAAUGGGGGCAACCCUGACGAAGCAAUGCCGCGUGAAUGAAGAAGGCCUUCGGGUUGUAAAGUUCUUUCGUGGAGGACGAAAAGGUGGGUGCUAAUAUCGCCUGCUGUUGACGUGAAUCCAAGAAGAAGCACCGGCUAACUCCGUGCCAGCAGC